CGAACGGGUGAGUAACGCGUGAGGAACCUGCCUCAAAGAGGGGGACAACAGUUGGAAACGACUGCUAAUACCGCAUAAGCCCACGGCUCGGCAUCGAGCAGAGGGAAAAGGAGUGAUCCGCUUUGAGAUGGCCCCGCGUCCGAUUAGCUAGUUGGUGAGGUAACGGCCCACCAAGGCGACGAUCGGUAGCCGGACUGAGAGGUUGAACGGCCACAUUGGGACUGAGACACGGCCCAG
This 237-nucleotide ribosomal RNA is filed under the name uncultured bacterium. Its description in RNAcentral is "partial 16S ribosomal RNA". It matches the Rfam family "Bacterial small subunit ribosomal RNA", at positions 99 to 334 of the family's 1533-position model. The record is from RNAcentral.